This 449-nucleotide ribosomal RNA is filed under the name uncultured bacterium. RNAcentral's name for it is "partial 16S ribosomal RNA". It matches the Rfam family "Bacterial small subunit ribosomal RNA", at positions 29 to 523 of the family's 1533-position model. The record is from RNAcentral.
AACGAACGCUGGCGGCAUGCCUAACACAUGCAAGUCGAACGAUCCCUUCGGGGAUAGUGGCGCACGGGUGCGUAACGCGUGGGAAUCUGCCCUUGGGUUCGGAAUAACAGUUAGAAAUGACUGCUAAUACCGGAUGAUGUCUUCGGACCGAAGAUUUAUCGCCCAGGGAUGAGCCCGCGCAGGAUUAGGUAGUUGGUGGGGUAAUGGCCUACCAAGCCGACGAUCCUUAGCUGGUCUGAGAGGAUGAUCAGCCACACUGGGACUGAGACACGGCCCAGACUCCUACGGGAGGCAGCAGUGGGGAAUAUUGGACAAUGGGCGCAAGCCUGAUCCAGCAAUGCCGCGUGAGUGAUGAAGGCCUUAGGGUUGUAAAGCUCUUUUACCAGGGAUGAUAAUGACAGUACCUGGAGAAUAAGCUCCGGCUAACUCCGUGCCAGCCGCCGCAGUAA